Molecule: small nucleolar RNA, 107 nt
Filed under: Gossypium barbadense (sea-island cotton)
Lineage: Eukaryota; Viridiplantae; Streptophyta; Magnoliopsida; Malvales; Malvaceae
Also listed under: 1 other name
Description: Plant small nucleolar RNA R71
Rfam family: Plant small nucleolar RNA R71
About the family: R71 is a member of the C/D box family of snoRNAs containing the C (UGAUGA) and D (CUGA) box motifs. Multiple nearly identical copies of this snoRNA have been identified in Arabidopsis, and it is thought to function as a 2'-O-ribose methylation guide for 18S ribosomal RNA.
Source: Rfam by way of RNAcentral
AUUCCAUGAUGAGGGCACUUUCGUAGUAAUUCUUUGUACCUUUCUCAUGCCUCAUAUAAGACUCGUGAUCUAUUUGUUGGAAAAUAUUAAUUUCAUUCCGCAAGCAU